RNAcentral lists this ribosomal RNA (889 nucleotides) under uncultured archaeon. RNAcentral describes it as "bacterial SSU rRNA". It matches the Rfam family "Archaeal small subunit ribosomal RNA", at positions 543 to 1435 of the family's 1478-position model. The record is from RNAcentral.
GGGUAAAUCGUGUCGCUUAACGAUACGAAUUCCGGGUAGACUGCUUAGCUUGAGACUGGGAGAAGCUAGAGGUACUCCUGGGGUAGAGGUGAAAUUCUGUAAUCCUGGGGGGACCACCAGUGGCGAAAGCGUCUAGCUAGAACGGGUCUGACGGUGAGGGACGAAGCCCUGGGGCGCGAACCGGAUUAGAUACCCGGGUAGUCCAGGGUGUAAACGCUGCUUGCUUGAUGUUAGUCGGGCUCCGAGCCCGAUUAGUGUCGGAGAGAAGUUGUUAAGCAAGCUGCCUGGGAAGUACGGCCGCAAGGCUGAAACUUAAAGGAAUUGGCGGGGGAGCACAGCAACGGGAGGAGCGUGCGGUUUAAUUGGAUUCAACGCCGGAAAACUCACCGGAGGCGACGGUUACAUGAAGGCCAGGCUGAUGACCUUGCCUGAUUUUCCGAGAGGUGGUGCAUGGCCGCCGUCAGUUCGUACCGUAAGGCGUUCUGUUAAGUCAGAUAACGAACGAGACCCUCAUUCUUAAUUGCAACUAAUAACUCCGGUUAUUGGGCACAUUAAGAAGACCGCUGGCGAUAAGUCAGAGGAAGGCGAGGGCAACGGUAGGUCAGUAUGCCCUGAAUCCUCCGGGCUACACGCGCGCUACAAAGGCCAGGACAAUGGGUUUCGACACUGAAAGGUGAAGGUAAUCUCGAAACCUGGUCAUAGUUCGGAUUGAGGGCUGAAACUCGCCCUCAUGAAGCUGGAUUCCGUAGUAAUCGCGGAUCAACAUCCCGCGGUGAAUAUGCCCCUGCUCCUUGCACACACCGCCCGUCAAACCAUGCGAGUUGGGUCCAAGUGAGGAUGUAGUAUUUUGCUGCGUUCAAACUUGGGCUUAGCAAGCGGGGUUAAGUCG